Long non-coding RNA from Limulus polyphemus (Atlantic horseshoe crab), 318 nucleotides. RefSeq lists it as uncharacterized. The transcript is spliced from 3 exons. The record is from RefSeq and is a predicted model, not a curated record. NCBI's taxonomy places the organism in Eukaryota, Metazoa, Arthropoda, Merostomata, Xiphosura, Limulidae.
AGAGUUCUACUUCUAAGCCUUUUACAUCUAUGUUUAUUUUACUGAAGUAGACACCUGCCGAACAUAAGCAAACAAGCAUAUUAGAAACAGCAUUAAUCCACCACCUCCACAAGAUAACACACCAAAUGUUCCAAGCUUCUUCGAAUAAGAUGUUUGUGCUACAGAUCCAGACCCUGAUAAAAUGCUACUCAAAAACUGAAGGAGAGGUAACUAGUCAACAUCACCAACCACCAAAUCUUGGGAUAUUCUUUACCAAAUAAAAUUGGGAUUGACUAUCACAUUAUUAUGCCCUGUGACUGAAAAAUGGAUCUUGAUGAA